This is a long non-coding RNA of Oncorhynchus tshawytscha (Chinook salmon), 1147 nucleotides long. The record is from Ensembl. NCBI's taxonomy places the organism in Eukaryota, Metazoa, Chordata, Actinopteri, Salmoniformes, Salmonidae.
UAUAGUGCACUACUUUAGACCAGAGCCCUAUUCCCUAUAUAGUGCACUACUUUAGACCAGAGCCCUAUUCCCUAUAUAGUGCACUACUUUAGACCAGCACUCAUAGGGCUCAAAAGUUGUGUUCUGUAUAGGGCAAGGGUUUCCAUCCCUGUUCCUGGAGAGAUACCGUCCUGUAGGUUUAAACUCCAACCCUGUUCCUGGAGAGAGACCCUCCUGUAGGUUUUAACUCCAACCCUGUUCCUGGAGAGUGACCCUCCUGUAGGUUGUAACUCCAACCCUGUUCCUGGAGAAAGACCCUCCUGUAGGUUUUAACUCCAACCCUGUUCCUGGAGAGAUACCCUCCUGUAGGUUUUAACUCCAACCCUGUUCCUGGAGAGAGACCCUCCUGUAGGUUUUAACUCCAACCCUGUUCCUGGAGAGAUACCCUCCUGUAGGUUUAAACUCCAACCCUGUUCCUGGAGAGAUACCCUCCUGUAGGUCCAGGGAAUAGGGUGCUAUUUGAGACUCAACCAGGUAACCAACAGUGAGGAAACCCUUCCCUUCCUCAUGUCUACCACCCUGUUGAUUUUCUCUCUGCCUCAUCUCAGAGUGCAUCUUGUGUUUGUCCCAAAAUGGCACCAAACUCCCUACAGAAGUAGUGUACUGCUUUUGACCAGGACUCAUAGGGCUCUGGUUAAAAGUAGUGUUCAAUAUAGGGAAUAGGGUGCCAUUUGGGAAGCAACCUUAGUGUUUACGAGGAGGGGUCAAGCCUUCCUCCGUCCAAUACAGGUGAGGGAAUGGAGGACAGACCAGUCAGUGUCGACGCUGUCUGUCUCUGAUUUAAUGGAAUGGUCAGUGUUUUUGCAUGCAGUUGGGGUGUGUGGGGCUACGUGAUUAAGACAUGUUUGGUUCACUAGAGAACAAGACCCCCCCCACACACACUGGCUGAUGUGGAGAGAAGACUCCACUGUGUUUGCAAUGCCACAGUCUCUCUCUUUCUCUCUCUUGUCAGUGUUGCCUGUCUUGUAUGGCAUGUCAGUGUGACAAUAUGUGUUCUAAAUGAACAGUAUUAACAAGCAAUAUCAGUAGGUCUGCCAGAACAAUUAUUGUCUGUGUCUGGCCCUGUAGACCCACAUACCAAGGCAAAGCUUUAAAAAAAAAAUUGGGG